This is a long non-coding RNA of Humulus lupulus (European hop), 1601 nucleotides long. RefSeq lists it as uncharacterized. Lineage: Eukaryota; Viridiplantae; Streptophyta; Magnoliopsida; Rosales; Cannabaceae. The record is from RefSeq and is a predicted model, not a curated record. The transcript has 3 exons.
UGUCCCGUGCUAUUAGACUUAGGCGCUAAAAAGACAGCUAAAAUGAAAUAUUAGGUGGCAAAUAUAAUAGACUUAGGCGCCAAAUGAAAGAAAAAACCCUUACCCUAAUCUCUAAGGUUGAAUCCCUAAUAACCCUUUACGCCUCCUCUCUCACACUCAGUAACUCUCUCUCGUUCUAUCUUUCUCUCUUAGCUACUCUCUCGUUCAAUCCUUCUUUCCUUCUCUCUGUUUGUUGCAGGUGUGUAACAAGGUGAUGGGGGCCCGCGACUUGGGUCGUAUGACAGGGAGGCUCGAUUCGUGGGUCUAUGGCGUGGCUCGCUCGUGGGUGCGAUGGUGCUUGCGGCGGUGGGUCUACGACAUGGCUCGACUGGUCUAUCUUCCAUCGGGUCUCAAUCUUCCAUCUCUGUAUUUCCCUUUGUUUCUCAAGAAAAUUCUUGGGGAAAUUGGUUGUUUUGCAAGUUUGUACAUUAUUUUUUAAUUAUUUACAGGGUGUUACAAUACUUUAGUAGUCUAAUCCAAAUUCUACAUCCCAAAAUCAGAUACGAUUUGGGGUUUGUAGAUUCAACUUGUUUCCGUGUCUAUGUGAAAGUCAGAUGUGAAGAGAUGGUGGAGACAACUGACUUAACAUUAAUGUAGUUGCAGGUACUUAUUUCUAAAGCUUAAGAUCUAUGACUAGUAUUUCUGGAUUCAAUGCUAGAUUUGCAUAAACUGUGUUAUUUCCUUUUUUUUCUUCAUUUUUCUUAUUUAUAUUUUUAUCUUGUAGAAGAUGAAAUAUCUUAGGCUAGAAUCAUUUCUGUGAAAUUGGUGAAAGUUCUGGUCUGUUUUAUAUUGAUUAUCUUAAGAUCAUGCCUUUUUAGCGAAUUUGACUGCUUAUAUUGUUGAUUAUAUGGGUUCUAUAUCCAUGGUUUGAAUGUUGAAAUAUUAAAGUUGAGAAAUGUUGAUCUUAGGGUUAUUAUUGGAAAUUUUUAUUCUUUUAUUUAUUUUACUAUUGUUACGAGGUUUUUGAUUUUGAGAUUGGGAGUUGUAGGAUUUUGUAUCUAUAAUUUUUCAUUGAUUCGAUGUUUGAGAGGAUCUAGGGAUAUAGGGCUAGUCGAUGAAAAUAAGAUAAAAAAGAUUUGAACUCCUCUCAUUAAGUAGUUACGGUAUAAUAGUUCUCCAUUUGAAAAUAGAUUGAGUUCAUUUAAAUAAUUUUUUCCAUUUAUUGUUCUGUGCCACAACUCAGUGUGUUCUUUAUAGUAAUAUUUGUGUACCUUUUUAUUUGUUUGCCAUUGAUUCAUUUAAAUAUUAACAGAGCUUUUCCUACUUUACUUUUGUAGGAUUAAUGAGAAUAAUUGCUAGGAUACAUAUGCUUGGGGCUCUAAAUGGUGUGAAGAUGGACUUGGCAAAUGUUGUUUCCCCUUUGCUUAUAGCAUAGCUAGAGAGCUUGAUUUGAAGGAAUGGACUUCCAGGACUGAAACUGCUAAUGUGCUGCAUGAGCCAGUAUGUCUCUUUUCAUCUCAUCUCAUCUCAUCUUGCAAGUCAUUUAUAAUUUAAGUAGUUUCUUUUUCUCUAGAGUUAAUUAUGAGAAAUUCAUAAACAUUGUUUGGUAAAUGAAAAUUGUA